ACUCCUACGGGAGGCAGCAGUGGGGAAUAUUGCACAAUGGGGGAAACCCUGAUGCAGCCAUGCCGCGUGUGUGAAGAAGGCCUUCGGGUUGUAAAGCACUUUCAGUAGGAGGAAGGUAGUGUAGUUAACACCUGCAUUAUUUGUACGUUACCUACAGAAGAAGCACCGGCUAACUCCGUGCCAGCAGCCGCGGUAAGUACGGAGGGUGCGAGCGUUAAUCGGAAUUACGUGGGCGUAAAGCGCAUGCAGGCGGCCUGUUAAGUCAGAUGUGAAAGCCCGGGGCUUAACCUCGGUAAUUGCAUUUGAAACUGGCAGGCUAGAGUCGUUGUAGAGGGGUUAGGAAUUUCGAGGUUGUAGCGGUGAAAUGCGUAGAGAUCUGAAGGAAUACCGAGUGGCGAAGGCGGCCCCCGUGGA
This 414-nucleotide ribosomal RNA is filed under the name uncultured bacterium. Its description in RNAcentral is "bacterial SSU rRNA". It matches the Rfam family "Bacterial small subunit ribosomal RNA", at positions 335 to 735 of the family's 1533-position model. The record is from RNAcentral.